AACGAACGCUGGCGGCAUGCCUAACACAUGCAAGUCGAACGAGACCUUCGGGUCUAGUGGCGCACGGGUGCGUACCGCGUGGGAACCUGCCCUUAGGUUCGGAAUACCUCCCCGAAAGGGGUGCUAAUACCGGAUAAUGUCUUCGGACCAAAGAUGUAUCGCCUUUGGAUGGGCCCGGGUUGGAUUAGCUAGUUGGUAGGGUAAAAGCCUACCAAGGCGACGAUGCAUAGCUGGUCGGAGAGGAUGAUCAGCCACACUGGGACUGAGACACGGCCCAGACUCCUACGGGAGGCAGCAGUGGGGAAUAUUGGACAAUGGGCGAAAGCCUGAUCCAGCAAUGCCGCGUGAGUGAGGAAGGCCUUAGGGUUGUAAAGCUCUUUUACCCGGGAUGAUAAUGACAGUACCGGGAGAAUAAGCUCCGGCUAACUCCGUG
RNAcentral lists this ribosomal RNA (433 nucleotides) under uncultured bacterium. RNAcentral describes it as "partial 16S ribosomal RNA". It matches the Rfam family "Bacterial small subunit ribosomal RNA", at positions 29 to 507 of the family's 1533-position model. The record is from RNAcentral.